RNAcentral lists this ribosomal RNA (1556 nucleotides) under Escherichia coli. RNAcentral describes it as "bacterial SSU rRNA". It matches the Rfam family "Bacterial small subunit ribosomal RNA". The record is from RNAcentral. Lineage: Bacteria; Pseudomonadati; Pseudomonadota; Gammaproteobacteria; Enterobacterales; Enterobacteriaceae.
UUAAAUUGAAGAGUUUGAUCAUGGCUCAGAUUGAACGCUGGCGGCAGGCCUAACACAUGCAAGUCGAACGGUAACAGGAAGAAGCUUGCUUCUUUGCUGACGAGUGGCGGACGGGUGAGUAAUGUCUGGGAAACUGCCUGAUGGAGGGGGAUAACUACUGGAAACGGUAGCUAAUACCGCAUAACGUCGCAAGACCAAAGAGGGGGACCUUCGGGCCUCUUGCCAUCGGAUGUGCCCAGAUGGGAUUAGCUAGUAGGUGGGGUAACGGCUCACCUAGGCGACGAUCCCUAGCUGGUCUGAGAGGAUGACCAGCCACACUGGAACUGAGACACGGUCCAGACUCCUACGGGAGGCAGCAGUGGGGAAUAUUGCACAAUGGGCGCAAGCCUGAUGCAGCCAUGCCGCGUGUAUGAAGAAGGCCUUCGGGUUGUAAAGUACUUUCAGCGGGGAGGAAGGGAGUAAAGUUAAUACCUUUGCUCAUUGACGUUACCCGCAGAAGAAGCACCGGCUAACUCCGUGCCAGCAGCCGCGGUAAUACGGAGGGUGCAAGCGUUAAUCGGAAUUACUGGGCGUAAAGCGCACGCAGGCGGUUUGUUAAGUCAGAUGUGAAAUCCCCGGGCUCAACCUGGGAACUGCAUCUGAUACUGGCAAACUUGAGUCUCGUAGAGGGGGGUAGAAUUCCAGGUGUAGCGGUGAAAUGCGUAGAGAUCUGGAGGAAUACCGGUGGCGAAGGCGGCCCCCUGGACGAAGACUGACGCUCAGGUGCGAAAGCGUGGGGAGCAAACAGGAUUAGAUACCCUGGUAGUCCACGCCGUAAACGAUGUCGACUUGGAGGUUGUGCCCUUGAGGCGUGGCUUCCGGAGCUAACGCGUUAAGUCGACCGCCUGGGGAGUACGGCCGCAAGGUUAAAACUCAAAUGAAUUGACGGGGGCCCGCACAAGCGGUGGAGCAUGUGGUUUAAUUCGAUGCAACGCGAAGAACCUUACCUGGUCUUGACAUCCACGGAAGUUUUCAGAGAUGAGAAUGUGCCUUCGGGAACCGUGAGACAGGUGCUGCAUGGCUGUCGUCAGCUCGUGUUGUGAAAUGUUGGGUUAAGUCCCGCAACGAGCGCAACCCUUAUCCUUUGUUGCCAGCGGUCCGGCCGGGAACUCAAAGGAGACUGCCAGUGAUAAACUGGAGGAAGGUGGGGAUGACGUCAAGUCAUCAUGGCCCUUACGACCAGGGCUACACACGUGCUACAAUGGCGCAUACAAAGAGAAGCGACCUCGCGAGAGCAAGCGGACCUCAUAAAGUGCGUCGUAGUCCGGAUUGGAGUCUGCAACUCGACUCCAUGAAGUCGGAAUCGCUAGUAAUCGUGGAUCAGAAUGCCACGGUGAAUACGUUCCCGGGCCUUGUACACACCGCCCGUCACACCAUGGGAGUGGGUUGCAAAAGAAGUAGGUAGCUUAACCUUCGGGAGGGCGCUUACCACUUUGUGAUUCAUGACUGGGGUGAAGUCGUAACAAGGUAACCGUAGGGGAACCUGCGGUUGGAUCACCUCCUUACCUUAAAGAAGC